AGCAGGCCAUACAGUCGAAAAUUAUUUUCAACUCAAAUAUUUGACAAUGUGAUAAUACAUACAUAAUUAAUCUUUUUGUAAAUAUAGAAUGAAUUGUUUUACAUAAUUUUAAAUUAAAUAUAAUAUUAGAUUGUAUUGAAAGAUAUAAUGUAAUUGUAAAGAUUAUCACGAAGUUGUUGUCGCAUUCCAUCCUAAAACAUCGUGACAUUUACGUACAUGAUAAACAACCAUCUUUGGUUAUUUUUCUACAAGCUCAAUUAAAAUUAUAUUGAAAGAUGUGACAGCAAUGUUAAGUAAAUAGUCUAUCUUAAAAUUUAUUUUAAGCAGUUUUGAAAUUGCAAAGUAUUACAUGAAUUCAUUAGUGAAGAAGUUUUCAGCUCGAAGUGGAUCAAUGGGUUUGAAAUAAUUAUAGACAAUGUUUAUACUUGGUAUUUUUCAAUCCAUAUAUAUUCUGGAACCACUUUAAUGAAUUAUUUACUUCAUGUAAUCCAGAUAUAAUGUCUGCUCCAUACUUAGAUAUUAAUACUGGUUUUUUGUAUGGUUCAUGCCAAACUUGAACUUGAUUAUUAUUCCUUUGAUAAUCUUAUUUAAUUUAUCAGGAUUAGAAUACUGAAUAUCUGUAAAAACUUAUCACGUCAUAGCAAUGACCGAUUUUAUGGCCCUUGAAAAUACAUUUAUUUUUGUAAAGAGAAUUACAUAAAUUUUUAUAUGAGUACAAUCAAGAUAUUUACAGAAAAUACAUAUACAGCAAUAGUUAUUGGUCUAGUUGGAUCAACUUGCUUUGUAUACUACACUACUUACUUAAAAGAAAAAGUUGAAUCUGGAUAAGUUGUUCUAAGUUCAGUAGCAACUAACCACAUAAUAACAGAUGGUUUAUCUUUACCUCUUUGGAUAAGUUCCAAUAAAGACUAUUUUACAAACAAAGUUGAAGAAAGUUUUUCAGAUCGACAUUCAUCAAUUAUAAGAAAUUCCAAUCAAAUAAAAAUAAUUUCCUUAAUAAAUGUUAUUUUAUUAAAUGGUGAAUAACAUUUCAGUUAAUAUUUCCAAUGAAAGGUGAAGAGCAUAUUUAUAAGUAAUAUCUAGUACUUCAUCGUAUGGAUAAUGAAUACUAUUAAAGAUUAAAUCUAAUCCUCUCCUUACAGUAUCUUCAUAUCUUCCAGCUAAAGCCAGGAAAAUAUAGAUUUUUUAUUUAUGAACAAUAAUGCACUCCAUAUCUUGUCAUAAAAACCUAUUGAAAGUCUAUGGAUAUCAGACUUUUCGUCUUUCACUAAUGUAAUUUUGACCUAGAAUGUUCGAAUUUUUUGUUGUUUCUUGUUGAAAGACCAUAAUUCAAAUACUGAUUUGAAUUACUUCAGAUAUGUAAAAGUAUCCAAGUAUCUAGUUUCUUCAUUUAUGCUACAUGGCCACCACAAUUUUAGUCAUGUUAAAUGUAAUGUGCCUUGAAAUUAUUAAGUUAACCAUUUGUAAAUAAUUAAUUUUCAACAUAAAAAAAGACUCAUUAGAAUCUCUUAUUUCAAUGAUGUAGUUAUAAUAACACCACUAUACUCUAACUCUGUCAAGGCUGUGAUAUAAUUUUAAUAAACCCUAAGGGCUUUCUAUACAACAAAACGUCUUCAAAGUUGAAAAAAAUAGAUUUAUAUGAAUCGAUUAUCUUGGUUCUCUCAAGAGGAAUGUACUUAUGAAUAACUACAUUAAUUGAAUAAAAUCAAAAACAUAAUUUUUUAAUUAAGUAGUUCCAAAAUUAAAUUUCAUGUUAACAAUUUUGCUUUGAGGUAAAUGUUCAAAUUCAUAAGUAAUGUGUAAAUCCUGUUUAGUCACUAAUCAAAUACAUAUUUAUGGAAAAAGUCACAUUGAGCAAGAAGUGAAAUCACUAUUUGUGCUGAAUAAUUAAUUGAUUCAAAGCUCAAGAAACUUCUUUGAUAGUUCCAAGAAGCAGAUCUAUAAAAUGAUUUUUCAUACCAAACUAGACCAAUGUAAAACUUGAUAAAUUGUAAUAUCAUUAUAUGUUGAAGGUACUGGCAUUUGCAUAACAUUUUUCACCCAUUAGUUAAUAAAUUUUGUUUAUUUGACAACUCAAAUAAAACACUUAAAUACAGUAUACUUAAUAAGCUGUUGGAAUACGUAAUUUUUAUAUGUCCUUUCCGAAUACAUUUUACGCUUACUA
Long non-coding RNA from Phymastichus coffea, 2164 nucleotides. RefSeq lists it as uncharacterized. The record is from RefSeq and is a predicted model, not a curated record. The transcript is spliced from 3 exons. NCBI's taxonomy places the organism in Eukaryota, Metazoa, Arthropoda, Insecta, Hymenoptera, Eulophidae.